GACGAACGCUGGCGGCGUGCUUAACACAUGCAAGUCGAACGGAAAGGCCCUGCUUUUGUGGGGUGCUCGAGUGGCGAACGGGUGAGUAACACGUGAGUAACCUGCCCUUGACUUUGGGAUAACUUCAGGAAACUGGGGCUAAUACCGGAUAGGAGCUCCUGCUGCAUGGUGGGGGUUGGAAAGUUUCGGCGGUUGGGGAUGGACUCGCGGCUUAUCAGCUUGUUGGUGGGGUAGUGGCUUACCAAGGCUUUGACGGGUAGCCGGCCUGAGAGGGUGACCGGCCACAUUGGGACUGAGAUACGGCCCAGACUCCUACGGGAGGCAGCAGUGGGGAAUAUUGCACAAUGGGCGGAAGCCUGAUGCAGCAACGCCGCGUGCGGGAUGACGGCCUUCGGGUUGUAAACCGCUUUCGCCUGUGACGAAGCGUGAGUGACGGUAAUGGGUAAAGAUGCACCGGCUAACUACGU
This 467-nucleotide ribosomal RNA is filed under the name uncultured bacterium. RNAcentral describes it as "partial 16S ribosomal RNA". It matches the Rfam family "Bacterial small subunit ribosomal RNA", at positions 28 to 506 of the family's 1533-position model. The record is from RNAcentral.